This 460-nucleotide ribosomal RNA is filed under the name uncultured bacterium. RNAcentral's name for it is "partial 16S ribosomal RNA". It matches the Rfam family "Bacterial small subunit ribosomal RNA", at positions 338 to 795 of the family's 1533-position model. The record is from RNAcentral.
CCUACGGGGUGCAGCAGUGAGGAAUAUUGGUCAAUGGACGAGAGUCUGAACCAGCCACGUAGCGUGAAGGAUGACUGCCCUAUGGGUUGUAAACUUCUUUUAUAUGGGAAUAAAAUGUUCCACGUGUGGGAUUUUGUAUGUACCAUAUGAAUAAGGAUCGGCUAACGCCGUGCCAGCAGCCGCGGUAAUACGGAGGAUCCGAGCGUUAUCCGGAUUUAUUGGGUUUAAAGGGAGCGUAGGGGGAUUGUUAAGUCAGUUGUGAAAGUUUGCGGCUCAACCGUAAAAUUGCAGUUGAAACUGGCAGUCGUGAGUACAGUAGAGGUGAGCGGAAGUCGUGGUGUAGCGGUGAAAUGCUUAGAUAUCACGAAGAACUCCGAUUGCGAAGGCAGCUCACUGGACUGCAACUGACACUGAGGCUCGAAAGUGUGGGUAUCAAACAGGAUUAGAUACCCUUGUAGUC